GAUAAACGCUGACAGAAUGCUUAACACAUGCAAGUCGAUGAUGGGAAGCUAAGCCUAGCUUAGAAGAAGUCAUGGCGGACGGGUGAGUAACGUGUAAGGAACUUGCCCUCUAGACUGGGAUAACAGAUAGAAAUGUCUGGUAAUACCGGAUAUUAUUGUUACAUGGCAUCGUGUAGGAAUGAAAGGAUAAGAUUGCUAGAGGAGAGCUUUGCAUCCUAUUAGCUAGUUGGUAAGGUAGUGGCUUACCAAGGCGAUGAUAGGUAGCCGGCCUGAGAGGGUGGACGGCCACAAGGGGACUGAGACACGGUCCAG
This 312-nucleotide ribosomal RNA is filed under the name uncultured bacterium. Its description in RNAcentral is "bacterial SSU rRNA". It matches the Rfam family "Bacterial small subunit ribosomal RNA", at positions 28 to 334 of the family's 1533-position model. The record is from RNAcentral.